This 389-nucleotide ribosomal RNA is filed under the name Chytridiomycetes sp. RNAcentral's name for it is "partial small subunit ribosomal RNA". It matches the Rfam family "Eukaryotic small subunit ribosomal RNA", at positions 582 to 975 of the family's 1831-position model. The record is from RNAcentral. Lineage: Eukaryota; Fungi; Chytridiomycota; Chytridiomycetes.
AUUCCAGCUCCAAUAGCGUAUAUUAAAGUUGUUGCAGUUAAAAAGCUCGUAGUUGAAUUUUUGACCUGGCUGGGUGGUCUUGCCGCAAGGUGAGUACUGCUCCGGUUGGGUCUUUCCUUCUGGGGAACCAAGGUGCCCUUUACUGGGUGCUUUGGGGAUCCAGGACUUUUACUUUGAAAAAAUUAGAGUGUUUAAAGCAGGCUUACGCUUGAAUACAUUAGCAUGGAAUAAUAGAAUAGGACUUUGGUUCUAUUUUGUUGGUUUCUAGGACCGAGGUAAUGAUUAAUAGGGAUAGUUGGGGGCAUUAGUAUUUAAUUGUCAGAGGUGAAAUUCUUGGAUUUAUGAAAGACUAACUUCUGCGAAAGCAUUUGCCAAGGAUGUUUUUAUUG